GAAGACGGCGGCGGGGAGGGUGGAAAGCUCGUUGUCGUAGAGCCACAGCUCCCGCAGUGGUGCAGCUGGAGGUCAAGCAGCCGAGAGAGAGAACUGCCCACUCCCUGCAGCCCUGGCACAUGAGCAGGGCUCUCAUGGCCUUAUCACGCCCUUAUCGCCUACUCUGCCUGCCUGCCACCAGCGGCAGCACUGCUGGGUUCCUGCCGGCUGACUCAUCGCAGAAGCACACAGCUUUUCAGCAAGGCAACACGGGAAUGAAAUCCCAGAACUUCCGAAAAACCACCGAGCUGGGUCCCGCAGAGGAAUGUCAGACUUGGCUCCUUCCGAGCAGCAGGGGCGCAGCGGCGGAUGCCCUCAAGCACCCUGCUCCCCAGGAUGGGGGUGAUCAGGCUGUGGUCCCCACGGCCACACGGAGCACCCGAAGUGUCACAGUAGCCCAGGAAACAGCCCUGCCAAAAACCCAGCUGCCUUUGCCUGGGCUCUGGCUUCUGGCUGGGAAGGAAGAAUCUGUUUUCAACAUAACCCUAAAAAUAAAGUAAGGCUGAGUAACA
Molecule: long non-coding RNA, 551 nt
Organism: Pogoniulus pusillus (Red-fronted tinkerbird)
Lineage: Eukaryota; Metazoa; Chordata; Aves; Piciformes; Lybiidae
Exons: 2
Source: RefSeq, a predicted model, not a curated record